CCCUUAGAUGUUCUGGGCCGCACGCGCGCUACACUGACGAAUGCAACGAGCUUAUAACCUUGGCCGAAAGGUCUGGGUAAUCUCCAAAUUUCGUCGUGAAGGGGAUAGAUUAUUGCAAUUAUUAAUCUUCAACGAGGAAUGCCUAGUAAGCGCAAGUCAUCAGCUUGCGUUGAUUACGUCCCUGCCCUUUGUACACACCGCCCGUCGCUCCUACCGAUUGAAUGGUCCGGUGAAGCGUUCGGACCGUGGCCUUUGGACGGUUCGCCGUCUGUUGGCUGCGGGAAGUUCGUUAAACCUUAUCAUUUAGAGGAAGGAGAANUCGUAACA
This 327-nucleotide ribosomal RNA is filed under the name uncultured eukaryote. RNAcentral's name for it is "partial 18S ribosomal RNA". It matches the Rfam family "Eukaryotic small subunit ribosomal RNA", at positions 1470 to 1796 of the family's 1831-position model. The record is from RNAcentral.